This 394-nucleotide ribosomal RNA is filed under the name uncultured Glomus. Its description in RNAcentral is "SSU rRNA". It matches the Rfam family "Eukaryotic small subunit ribosomal RNA", at positions 644 to 1043 of the family's 1831-position model. The record is from RNAcentral. Lineage: Eukaryota; Fungi; Glomeromycota; Glomeromycetes; Glomerales; Glomeraceae.
GGGUUAGUAAGUUGGUCAUGCCUUUGGUAUGCACUGGCUUUACUGGUUCCUCCUUCUUGACGAACCGUGAUGUCAUUAAUUUGGUGUUGCGGGAAAUCAGGACUGUUACUUUGAGAAAAUUAGAGUGUUUAAAGCAGGCUAACGCUUGAAUACAUUAGCAUGGAAUAAUGAAAUAGGGCGUUAAUCCUAUUUUGUUGGUUUCUAGGAUCGACGUAAUGAUUAAUAGGGAUAGUUGGGGGCAUUAGUAUUCAAUUGUCAGAGGUGAAAUUCUUGGAUUUAUUGAAGACUAACUACUGCGAAAGCAUUUGCCAAGGAUGUUUUCAUUAAUCAAGAACGAAAGUUAGGGGAUCGAAGACGAUCAGAUACCGUCGUAGUCUUAACCAUAAACUAUGCC